GAUGAAGAACGUAGCGAAAUGCGAUAAGUAAUGUGAAUUGCAGAAUUCAGUGAAUCAUCGAAUCUUUGAACGCACAUUGCGCCCGGUGGUAUUCCGCCGGGCAUGCCUGUUCGAGCGUCAUUAUCACCCCUCAAGCCCUCGGCUUGGUGUUGGACGGUUUGGUGGAGGCCCCCUCGGGGGCUCCUGCCCCUCCCAAAGACAAUGACGGCGGCCUCGUUGGACCCCCGGUACACUGAGUUCUUCACGGGACACGUAUCGGACACAUGGGUUUACGGGACACGGUCUGCCUCCCCUCAGGGAGAAUCUUUCUAAGGUUGACCUCGGAUCAGGUAGGGAUACCCGCUGAACUUAAGCAUAUCAAUAAGCGGAGGA
Molecule: unclassified non-coding RNA, 372 nt
Filed under: soil metagenome
Description: partial contains 5.8S ribosomal RNA, internal transcribed spacer 2, and large subunit ribosomal RNA
Rfam family: 5.8S ribosomal RNA (bases 1-120)
Source: RNAcentral